GGUGAGGUGUCAGAGUGGCUGAAUGAGAACGCCUGGAAAGUGUGUAUACGGAAACGUAUCGGGGGUUCGAAUCCCCCCCUAACCGCCA
Molecule: transfer RNA, 88 nt
Filed under: Escherichia coli
Lineage: Bacteria; Pseudomonadati; Pseudomonadota; Gammaproteobacteria; Enterobacterales; Enterobacteriaceae
Description: tRNA-Ser
Rfam family: tRNA
About the family: Transfer RNA (tRNA) molecules are approximately 80 nucleotides in length. Their secondary structure includes four short double-helical elements and three loops (D, anti-codon, and T loops).
Source: RNAcentral